GACGAACGCUGGCGGCGUGCUUAACACAUGCAAGUCGAACGCUGAAGCUCAGCUUUUGUUGGGUGGAUGAGUGGCGAACGGGUGAGUAACACGUGAGUAACCUGCCUCCUUCUUUGGGAUAACGCCCGGAAACGGGUGCUAAUACUGGAUAUUCACUGGUCUUCGCAUGGGGGUUGGUGGAAAGGGUUUUUCUGGUGGGGGAUGGGCUCGCGGCCUAUCAGCUUGUUGGUGGGGUGAUGGCCUACCAAGGCUUUGACGGGUAGCCGGCCUGAGAGGGUGACCGGGCACAGUGGGACUGAGAUACGGCCCAGACUCCUACGGGAGGCAGCAGUGGGGAAUAUUGCACAAUGGGCGCAAGCCUGAUGCAGCGACGCCGCGUGAGGGAUGGAGGCCUUCGGGUUGUGAACCUCUUUCGCUCAUGGUCAAGCCGCAACAAUGGUUGUGGUGAGGGUAGUGGGUAAAGAAGCGCCGGCUAACUACGUG
This 483-nucleotide ribosomal RNA is filed under the name uncultured bacterium. Its description in RNAcentral is "partial 16S ribosomal RNA". It matches the Rfam family "Bacterial small subunit ribosomal RNA", at positions 28 to 507 of the family's 1533-position model. The record is from RNAcentral.